Molecule: unclassified non-coding RNA, 3514 nt
Filed under: Leishmania donovani
Lineage: Eukaryota; Euglenozoa; Kinetoplastea; Trypanosomatida; Trypanosomatidae
Description: gene:LdHU3.34.6270(CDS-product:Protein_of_unknown _function_(DUF1620)_putative)
Source: RNAcentral
UGCUUGCACCACGUAGUAGACGUUUCUUCUCUGACGUACACUCGCGCACACAAGCACGCUCAGAAAACGGCGCCCAGAAAACGGAGGAAAAGCGAAAAGUUGGCAAGUGCACGUGGUACACACGCACACAGCCAGCAAAGGAAGCAGGUGAUUGCCAAUACGUCUGCCUCUCUCGUCAAGGUUGUGGCGGUGUGGCGGUUCCGCAGCCCUCCCUCUGCACGCGUGGCGGGUCUGUUAGGCAAACGCGAGGACGAAGACGCAAGUGAGACACCCUCGCACGGGAAAAUAAAACAGACGGUGCAGCGUUCAUCUCGUUUUGCGUCGUGCUUGAGCUCUUCUCUAAAGCAGUCCACCCCCACGCAUUCCUGUCUCUCUCAGCCCACGCCCCAGCAGAAAUGCUUCGCGCUAUACCGCUUGUCUGCGUAGCGGCGGUGCUGCUGACAUGCCUGCCAGUGGCCGCUAUCCACGAGGAUGAGCAAGGUCUGCGUGACUGGAUAAUGCAUCUCGUCGGGAACGUGCAGGAUAGUGCCGCGCAGGUGGCGACAAAUCCACAACUGCUCUACGUCGCUUCCGAGGACGGCGCCGUGGCUGCGAUCGCCGUCGGCGCCUAUGGUGGCUUGAACCUGACGUGGCGUCAGAUAUCCUCUGCGACGCCUUUGUGCGUCGCUGCUGGCCCGCAGGCGGUGCUGACAGUGAACAAUGCCGGUGUGGCUACCUUGAUGAGCCCUACAACGGGAUCCAUCGAGGUGACGUACGCACUUCAGACAGUAACCACGACUCUACAGGCGGCCGCGUGCUCGGUGGUCAGCGGGAAGGCUGUCGUGGUCACCUACGACGGCGCCACGCUGAAGCGCUUCGAGUUUUCGACGGCCUCGGAAGAGCAAUCCAUCCCGGUCGCCGCGUAUGCAAGCGCGUCUGUUGAGGUGUCCAAGAUGUACGUCGCCGGCUCCGUGCUUCUCGUGAACCACGGAAGCGACUCUGCCGACGUUCUCCGCCUUGACAACCUCGCCAAAGAGCGCAGCGUGGCCGGCAUGGCCACGAGCAUCGCCGCUGACGGUCACUUCACCACCCGCGACGCGGCCACCGUCCGCUCUUUUCCUACUAACGGCGCCGCAAGUGAGGUGGCGUGCUCUGACUGUGGCAUCGCCGUCGUGAGGAACGCGCACACCGGCGAGCCCACUGGCGUCGUCCGUGUGGAGACGCAGGUGGACAUGCUGCGCAUCACGUACCCGAACUCGGUCGUGACGAUUCCUAACAUCUGCAGCAGCAUCACCGCCUACCCUCUCCUGGCAUUCGAGAAGGACGACGGCGACGUUAUCGUGCUGAUCAAGACCGGCGCGCACAACCUUCUUCUCGUGAGCGCGGCGGAGGGACUCGUGUGGCGCCGCUUUGAGGCGCUCGCGAACGUGGCUGCCGCCGCGAUUGUGGAGCCGAUGGAGGCGCUGGACCACUUCCAUUUCAACAAGAACAUCUUGCUGGUCUCCCGCUUCGGCACGCUCUACUCGAUUCCCAUCGCGGGCAUGGGUGCGCAGGUGGACUACAUCAAGGACUUUUCGCAGGAGCUGGCGGCGGCCAUGAAGGCCCCAUCGAUGGCCAAGGUGCAGGUGCGGGAGCUGGCCGUGCGAGACGACGGCCGCACCGCCGUGGUGCACGCGGAGUCCGGCGCGACGAGUGGCCACAUCUUGAUCGACCUGGCGGAGCGCAUGGUCACUAGUGUGACGACCUGCGAGAACGCCGUUCUUUCAACCCCCGAGCUGGAGGUGGCGGCUGACCUCUCUGUCAGGGGCUCGCUUUCGCACGGUGUCUUCUACACAUAUGCCAGCCACGCCGAGUCCGGCACAAUCGAGGGAUACAGCGUCAGCGCGGCGGCGGGUGCGCGCCCUACGUGGGUGGUGCAGAUGCCCUCGGCCAUUGUGGCGCACGCCGCCGGCAGUGAGCCGCGCCGGACAGAUGUUGUGAACAAUUUGCGCGUGUACCCGAACAUCUCGGGCAGGGAGAUGGUUGAGGAGGUGCGCCGCACCUACCCAAUGCGCAACGUCAUCGCCGUGGCGCAUUAUGAGCCGUCCGAGGAGGAGCUGCCGUCGCUGGUGAUCACCGCGAUCGAUGUGGUGACGGGCAGCAUCUUGGCGACGACACGUCAUGCGAACGUGGAGGGGGACGUGAAGAUGGUUAUUGUGGAGCACGCCAUUGUCUACUACUAUCUCGACGCCAAGAAAAUGCGCUACUGCUUCGGCGUGUGGGAGCUGUUUGAGGAUGAGAACAGCCCGGUGGUGUUCAAGACAGCCGGCGCCACGAUUCCGCAGAUUAUCGCCUCCUUCUUCGUCAACACGAAGCGCGAGUUCAGCUCCCGUGCAACGCGCCCGCCGAUCGUGGUGGUGUCGACUCUCGGCUCCUUUGGCGGCCCGCUCGCUGAUAUGGGCGUCACCACCUCCUACAACGCCAUCGCCCGAAAAAGCCUUGUGCUGGCGUACGCGACGGGCCGUGUGGUGGUGGUGGAGCUGCGACACCUACUCGCCGGUAACCAGAUGCCCCUGCCAGGUGCGAAGGACCGCCAAAUGUCGCACCUUCUGCUCCCCAGCUUCUUGUUCGCGUCGCACAAGUACCGCGUUGCCUUUCCGCGCAAGAUCACGACGGAACCGACGCUGCUGGAGAGCUCUUGUCACGUGGUGGUGUCGGGCCUCGACCUCUUUUACGUGCGCUCGUCGUCCGGCAAGCCGUUCGAUCUGCUCAAUAGUGACUUCAACAAGCCGCUGCUUAUCACACUCGUGUGCGGCUUUGCUGUGCUGUCCGUGAUGGCGCGCUACUUUGUUAAUCGCAAGGCCCUCAAUUCGGCGUGGCAGUAGGCGCGUUUUCGAUUCGCGCGCGGCUAAGCACGGAAGUGGUGUUGCGGCGCGAACAAGGCACAGAGAGUUGUUGUUUCGUUUUUGUUGUCGUUGUUGUUCUGUUUUUCUGAGCUGUAGCGUGUGCAACGUUCGUGCUCGUGCCGCAGUUGUCCACGCCCGGGCCCCUCUGUCUGUCUCGGAUGGUGUCUCGAUGUGCCCUUUGUUUGUUCGCUUAUUUUUGCUUUAAACUCCUUCUGAAUGGCGGCUGCAACCGCCCCUCCACCCCCCCCCCCGCUUACACACACACGCGCGCCGAAAACGUUUGACCAAAGAAAAUGGAGUAGAUGAUGCGCGGCUGCUGCUCUUGUCAGCUCACCUUCCCGCGCUUCCUCUUGCAGUCUCUACCGAGGGUGUGGUUGUGUGUGUGUGUGUGUGUGUAUGUGGGUGUGUGGGGGUGUGUAUAUCUGUGUAUGCCAUUAUGGGAGGUGGCGUUUGAGAUGGUAGUGUGCAUACUUCUCUCCGACGACAACGGGUGUUUGCAUGUACGUGUAUAUAUGUAGGUGCUCGUGUGCGUGAGUCUGUGUGUGAGUCGGAGUGCAGUGGCGAUCUUUUUUUUUUAACACGUCGGGUUUUGUCUGUGUGUAGGUUAAGCGCUCUGAUAUUGCUGUGUGCGGACGUGUGUGAAAGGCAGC